Long non-coding RNA from Bubalus bubalis (water buffalo), 3784 nucleotides. RefSeq lists it as uncharacterized. The transcript has 3 exons. The record is from RefSeq and is a predicted model, not a curated record. NCBI's taxonomy places the organism in Eukaryota, Metazoa, Chordata, Mammalia, Artiodactyla, Bovidae.
AGCGACUUAGCAGCAGCAGCAGUCACCGUGUGUAUGUAUGUGUGUGCGCGCGCACAAGCGGGUAGAAGGUUGGAAGGAGACGACAACUCUUAUUGUAUGUACAGCAGACCACAGGCUCACUGAGGGCAGUGACCCUGUCUACGCAGCACCCUGCCCCCACCGCACCUGAUCCGAUUGGGGGAACACUAAAUGGAUGACUAGCAGUUGUGUGUGUGUGACGGAAUAGAGGGCCUCUGGGAGGAUCCUUUCUGGCUGCGGAGGAGUGUUCCAAGCCCGCGCAUCCAGCGAGCAGUGUUAGAGCACCCCCAGAGCACCCCGAGGCCCAGACUACUCCCAUUUCUCUCCCUUUCUCCGAAGCCCGCCAGUCGGGUGCUGGGAGCUUGCCAGGGCGUUGGCAUGGCGCCGCCUUCGGCAGAAAGUAAAGCUCGACCAGAUGCUGGGCGAGCCUGGUGAGGAAGGGCCCGAGCUUUAGGGGAGGUCCUGGGUGUCCAACCUGGCCCCGCGUCUCCUUCUCUGCUUCGGAUUUCACAUCUGUGCAAUGGGCGAGUGCAGCCGGCUCAGGGCUGCUGGCGGGAUCAGACCCGGGAGGACUGGAGAUGCGGUUUAGCCCAGACCCGCGCUCCGGCAGCGGUCUCCGAUCCCAGUUGGGGUCUGCGGGCAGGACGCAGGUGGGCGAAGGAGCCUAUCGCCGAGCACCGCGCCCCUCUCGGGCCACCGGCCUAGGCGCCCUCGGGGUGGGAAGCGUUUCCAGGGCGGCCUGCCGCUCCCGCGCGGUAACCCAGAUCUGUCACCGCGGCCCAGCGUCUCGGCAGCAAAUCCCCGCCCCGAGAGGGGUCGACUGGGGAGGGGGUACUCGGGGGUCCUGGGCUCCCGACCCAGCCCUCCCACGGAGGCUGGGGUGCGGGGCGCCCAGUGUGAGCCCAGCCCCCGCUCCCGGGCCCCGCCCCGCCGGCAGCUCGCGAUCGAUGCGACAGCCCUCCUGCCCCUCCCCCAAAGGCCAAACAAAACAUAGUAAAUAUUUAAUCCGGGCCAGGGAGCCGGGAGCCCUCCCCACCUCCCUCGGCAGCCGUCUGGCUCCUCUGCCAGCCCCGGCCGUUCUCCCCGGUAAUGAGGCCGGAGCAGCAAGGAUCGAUCCGCGGCCCGGGCGGGGUGGGGGUGGGGGCCCGAGCCCUCGGGUGGCAUCGCUGUUCGCCCCCAUUCCGCUCCGCCAUCCCAGACCCAGGAGACUCGAGCCAACCGGGAGCCUGAGCUUGUCCGAGAAGGCCAGCGAGGAGGAGGUGGGGGGCCGCUGCGCCCCUGCCCACCCCCAUCUCAGGCCUGUGCCUACUUGAAGGUCAAUUGAUCUGAACCAGUUAGCAAGAGGAUAAGGACCUGUGUAUCUUCAACCAAGGGGAGAUCUUGCACCAAGCCAUCUAAGAGGGCUGAUAGAGAUCCUGAGUGCCAGGCUUAACCAAUGUGCUGUCCCGCCUUCCAGAUGGUGCUUCCAUCCACGGCGAGAGUCAGCCCAUCUUAUCUCUGGGGGUCCAGAGGCAGCAGUCUGCUGUUACCCCAGAGACUGGAAGUGUGAUCCACGAGUGAGACCAGGGAGCAGCAAGUGGACUUUCCUGCGAGGAGGUUUUUGACUUCAAGUGUCCCCAGAAAUGGGCCGGGUCAAAGGAGUCAUGGGGGUGGGGAGUGGAGGGGAGGUGGGGACUGGGAAGGCUUUGCCAUUAUUCCAGUUCUGCUAGAUCACAACAGUUCUUGGAAAUUGCCUCAGAUCUCACAGCACUUUCCUCUUAAUAGUCUCGAUGGUGGUGAAUCCUUGGCCACUGAGGGUAGGUUUGAUUUUUUGGAAAAGGCCAAGAAUAAUUUGAAGCUGUGUAUUGUGAAUAAACAGACAAGACAUUUUCAGAAGGUGGUUUGUUUUUGUUGUUGGGAUUUUUUUUUUUUUUAAGUUGAAAGCAAGAUGGUACUCAAGAAUUGAACCACUUUUGGAAUUCCCUGGCAGUCCAGUGGUUGGGGGCUUCCCAGGUGGUGCUAAUGGUAAAGAACCCACCUGCCAAUGCAGGUUAAAUGUAAGAGACACUGUUUCAGGCCCUGGGUCAGGAAGAUCCCCUGAAAGAGGGCAUGGCAACCCACUCCAGUAUUCUUGCCUGGAGAAUCCCAUGGACAGAGGAACCUGGCAGGCUGCAGUCCACAGGGUCACACAGAGUGGGACACAGCUGAGCAACUUAGCAUAGCACACAGCACAGAAGCUUUAUUGUUUUAGCCAGUGGUUAGGGAAUCCCCAUCAGGGAUUCCCUGGUGGCUCAGAUGGCAAAGAGUCUGCCUGCAAUGCAGGAGACCCAGGUUCGAUUCCUAGGUCCGCUUGAGAAGGAAAUGGCAACCCACUCCAGUAUUCUUGUCUGGAAAAUCCCAUGGACAGAGGAGCCUGGCAGACUACAGUCGAUGGGGUCUCAAAGAGUCAGACACUUUCCUUUCACUUUCCUAGGACUCUAUGUUUUCACUGCCGAAGGCCUGGGUUCAAUCACUGGUCAGGGAACUAAGAUCUCACAAGCUGCAUGCUGCAGCCAAAAAAAAAAAAAAAAGAGACAGAGAGAAUUGAGCCACUUUCCUCAUAAGAAAUUUCCAGAAGUAUUUCAAGUGAUGGCAGUACUUUGAAACCGAAGUGUGUGGGGGGUGCUGGGGUCUGAAGGUGACCACUUCAACAGAAGGGCCAGGGAGGGGAAUUGAUCCUUUAUGGAAGCAUUGCAUGCGCCAGACACUUUACAUACAUUAUCUCAGCUGCCUGAAAUCAUUUUUGGAGUAAGGCCUGUCUAUAAAAAACAAUUCAUCAAUAAUCCAUUAUCUUGUAUACUCUGUACUUCUCACUGUAAUCCUGUUAGAACAAGUGCUUAGCCCAUUUCACAGGUGAGGAAACUAAGGCUCAGGGAAGUUGAAUGACUUAAGAGCUUGUAAGUGUCAGGGUCAGGAUUCAUACCCAGGUCUGACUGGCCCCAAACUCAAGGCUAAUUCUCUUUUGGCCGGGUAAGUUCUGGUGUGCCCAGCACACUCCUCUCCCCCCGCACCCCCGGCCACCCGCCAAACACAGAUUUUUAGUUUCAUUAUGUCAAGGUGACGUCAUUUAGGCUACAUCCACCACUUUAAAAAAGAAAGCAGGUCAUAAAGGAGUCAUGUGCUUGGCCGAAAUGCUGACUGUGUGCGGUGGCAGGCGGCGUCAGCAGGCGUCAGGGGACGCGUGGGUGACAAUGGCAAGGCGUGAAGUAUGGUGUUUAUUAGGCACUGGCAAAGGCCCGAGAGUUCCAGAUGCCAAGUUGUGAUAAGUGGAAACUGCCUGUCUCGGCUCCAAACACGGAGCAGGCUCCCAGGUCUGAGCCUUUGAGUCAGCUGGAUGCUUGGACGGGCCGACCCUCACCACUGGCAAGACAGGGCUCCUAUUAUUAUUAUAACAAUGAUAAUUCAUGCUGAUGGAACACUCCUUAUGUGCUAGGCAUUGUGCAAGUGCCUUACCAUGAUGGUUUGAUCUCUCUGUAUAGUCUCUCUCCCUCUUCUUUUUCUUCUGGCCUCGCCUCAAGGCUUGCAGGAUCUUUUUUUUUUUUUUUUAAUUUAUUAAUUAUUUUGGGCUGCACUGGGUCUUCGUUGCUGUGCCUGGGCUUUCUCUAGUUGUGACAGUGGGGGCUACUCUCUAUUUGUGGUAUGCGAGCUUCUCCUUGCGGCGGCUUCUCUUAUUGCGGCUCAAGGGCCCUGAACGUAGGCUCAGUAGUUGUGGCCCAGGGGCUUAGCUGUUCCACUGCAUGUGAAAUCU